GUCUUUUUGAGUAUAAUUUAAAGUCUAACCUGCCCAAUGAGUAGUUAAAUGGCCGCGGUACUCUGACCGUGCAAAGGUAGCAUAAUCAUUAGUUUUUUAAUUGAAAGCUGGAAUGAACGGUUGGACGAGAAAAUGACUGUCUCAAUUUAAUUUAAUAUAGAAUUUUAUUUAUAAGUAAAAAAGCUUAUAUAAAUUUAAAAGACGAGAAGACCCUAUAGAAUUUUAUAUUUAUAGGUUUAUAUUAUUUUUAGAAUGAUAAGUUUUAUAGAUUUAUAUAUAUUUUGUUGGGGCGAUAGAAAAAUUAAAUAAACUUUUUUUAUAUUAAGUCAUUAAUUUAUGAGUAGAUGAUCCAUUCUUUAUGAUUAUAAGAUUAAAUUACCUUAGGGAUAACAGCGUAAUUUUUUUUUAGAGUUCUUAUCGAAAAAAGAGUUUGCGACCUCGAUGUUGGAUUAAAAUUAACUUUUGGUGUAGGGGCUAAAAGGUUAGGUCUGUUCGACCUUUAAAAUUUUACA
This 512-nucleotide ribosomal RNA is filed under the name Haploscapanes barbarossa. RNAcentral's name for it is "partial 16S ribosomal RNA". It matches the Rfam family "Bacterial large subunit ribosomal RNA", at positions 1819 to 2600 of the family's 2925-position model. Lineage: Eukaryota; Metazoa; Arthropoda; Insecta; Coleoptera; Scarabaeidae. The record is from RNAcentral.